This 483-nucleotide ribosomal RNA is filed under the name uncultured bacterium. RNAcentral's name for it is "bacterial SSU rRNA". It matches the Rfam family "Bacterial small subunit ribosomal RNA", at positions 30 to 507 of the family's 1533-position model. The record is from RNAcentral.
AUUGAACGCUGGCGGAAUGCUUUACACAUGCAAGUCGAACGGCAGUACGGGGGCAACCCUGGUGGCGAGUGGCGAACGGGUGAGUAAUACAUCGGAACGUGCCCAGUCGUGGGGGAUAACGUAGCGAAAGCUACGCUAAUACCGCAUACGAUCUACGGAUGAAAGCGGGGGAUCGCAAGACCUCGCGCGAUUGGAGCGGCCGAUGGCAGAUUAGGUAGUUGGUGGGGUAAAGGCUCACCAAGCCUUCGAUCUGUAGCUGGUCUGAGAGGACGACCAGCCACACUGGGACUGAGACACGGCCCAGACUCCUACGGGAGGCAGCAGUGGGGAAUUUUGGACAAUGGGCGAAAGCCUGAUCCAGCCAUUCCGCGUGCAGGAUGAAGGCCCUCGGGUUGUAAACUGCUUUUGUACGGAACGAACGGCCUUUUCUAAUACAGAGGGCUAAUGACGGUACCGUAAGAAUAAGCACCGGCUAACUACGUG